This 253-nucleotide ribosomal RNA is filed under the name uncultured bacterium. RNAcentral's name for it is "partial 16S ribosomal RNA". It matches the Rfam family "Bacterial small subunit ribosomal RNA", at positions 524 to 776 of the family's 1533-position model. The record is from RNAcentral.
UACGUAGGGGGCAAGCGUUGUCCGGAUUUAUUGGGCGUAAAGAGCGUGUAGGCGGUUUGGUAGGUCCGUUGUGAAAACUCGAGGCUCAACCUCGAGACGCCGAUGGAAACCAGCAGACUAGAGUCCGGAAGAGGAGAGUGGAAUUCCUGGUGUAGCGGUGAAAUGCGCAGAUAUCAGGAAGAACACCCGUGGCUAAGGCGGCUCUCUAGUACGGUACUGACGCUGAGACGCGAAAGCGUGGGGAGCGAACAGG